GGGGCUGUAACGGUUUCGACGUUUUAGCGAACGCUACUUUGUGAUUCAGGUCGAGAGUGAGUCUCCUCUCGUAAAUCAAAGGCUCAAAAUGCGUACAUGCGAACAACAUCGUACCCUUUGCUCGUAAGGCUGUAACUGCCUAAAAACCCCUCAAAGGUUCGAGCGUCUACGGUUUGACUCCGUUAAAGAUCGUAGACAAAACCCCAACGGAUGCUCUAGCAGACCUGCUCUGGUUGGUCGCUAGCUAAGACUUAACCGGAGAAUCCCAUCGCUCGGGAUAAUGAGCGGUUCCCGCUUCGAGGGUUAGAGAAGCUAAACCUGUGAAUGAGCGAAGUACUAAUACCUAGAGCGGACACGGGUUCGACUCCCGUCAGCUCCACUU
Molecule: transfer-messenger RNA, 382 nt
Filed under: Tabrizicola sp.
Lineage: Bacteria; Pseudomonadati; Pseudomonadota; Alphaproteobacteria; Rhodobacterales; Paracoccaceae
Also listed under: 2 other names
Rfam family: transfer-messenger RNA
About the family: Bacterial tmRNA, also known as 10Sa RNA or SsrA, is named for its dual tRNA and mRNA-like properties. Its role is to liberate the mRNA from a stalled ribosome.
Source: RNAcentral